UCGUAUACUGAAUGUAUCCUGAGUUUAAAUUUUCCGGUAUACCUUCAGUAUACGUAGC
RNAcentral lists this microRNA precursor (58 nucleotides) under Parasteatoda tepidariorum (common house spider). RNAcentral describes it as "iab-4-2 stem-loop (pte-iab-4-2)". Its record names the gene pte-iab-4-2. The record is from miRBase by way of RNAcentral. Lineage: Eukaryota; Metazoa; Arthropoda; Arachnida; Araneae; Theridiidae.